AGAAGAAACUAAGAGCCCAACUUGGUCACAGUGAGUGAAGGAACAUGGCUCUGAAUCAUGCCUGUCUGUCUCCCCAGGUCUGUGCUUAAAACCACGAAGUUCAAGAUGGAAACUGAAGGGAAGAGUGUCAAGGGGAUGGGAGAGAGGACUUGUCCAUGACUUUGGCAGCAUAAGGAAAAAAUACCCAGGGACAAGUGGCGACUUUGGAAACUCCAUUCCUCUGCAAAAUGACAUCACGAGGAGAGUGGUGGGGCCUGCGGAUGAAAAGAUCUGGCUUCUCCUCCCAACUCUGCUAUGAGGAAGCGCUGGAUGGCCCUGUCGGCCGCGGUCAUCGCCGCCUCGGCCCGGGAGCUCAGCAUUGCAGCCGCACCGGAGGCCUGAAACCGUCUCCUCCGCUACCGCCGCCGCCGCCGCCGGACCGAGGGAUACGACGGUUCCCGAGACAGCGGAACCUGCGGCCGCAGUCCCAGCACCUCGGGGGAACGUAGACCGCAGGACAGCUCCCAGGGGGACCGGAAGUAGCUGCCCCCGGAGAGCAAUAGCUGACGGACCACGUCCUUUCUUUCUUUUCCCUUAGCAACAGGCCCCGGCGUCGGUUGCUACGCUGGGCUCAGUUGCCUGGGGCUGCUUGGUUUUCAGAUUUGCUUAGGCUCCAUUCAUAAAUACAGAUGGCACACUUCUAGGAUGG
RNAcentral lists this long non-coding RNA (688 nucleotides) under Homo sapiens (human). RNAcentral's name for it is "HSALNT0370407". Lineage: Eukaryota; Metazoa; Chordata; Mammalia; Primates; Hominidae. The record is from RNAcentral.